GAUAGUACCUUACUACUUGGAUAACCGUGGUAAUUCUAGAGCUAAUACAUGCUGAAAACCCCAACUUCGGGAGGGGUGUAUUUAUUAGAUAAAAAACCAACGCCCUUCGGGGCUUCUUGGUGAUUCAUGAUAACUUCACGGAUCGCAUGGCCUUGCGCCGGCGACGGUUCAUUCAAAUUUCUGCCCUAUCAACUUUCGAUGGUAAGGUAUUGGCUUACCAUGGUUUCAACGGGUAACGGGGAAUUAGGGUUCGAUUCCGGAGAGGGAGCCUGAGAAACGGCUACCACAUCCAAGGAAGGCAGCAGGCGCGCAAAUUACCCAAUCCCGACACGGGGAGGUAGUGACAAUAAAUACUGAUACAGGGCUCUUUUGGGUCUUGUAAUUGGAAUGAGUACAAUUUAAACCUCUUAACGAGGAACAAUUGGAGGGCAAGUCUGGUGCCAGCAGCCGCGGUAAUUCCAGCUCCAAUAGCGUAUAUUAAAGUUGUUGCAGUUAAAAAGCUCGUAGUUGAAACUUGGGCCUGGCUGGCAGGUCCGCCUCACCGCGUGUACUUGUCCGGCCGGGCCUUUCCUUCUGGAGAACCUCAUGCCCUUCACUGGGUGUGUUGGGGAACCAGGACUUUUACUUUGAAAAAAUUAGAGUGUUCAAAGCAGGCCUUUGCUCGAAUACGUUAGCAUGGAAUAAUAGAAUAGGACGUGCGGUCCUAUUUUGUUGGUUUCUAGGACCGCCGUAAUGAUUAAUAGGGACAGUCGGGGGCAUCAGUAUUCAAUUGUCAGAGGUGAAAUUCUUGGAUUUAUUGAAGACUAACUACUGCGAAAGCAUUUGCCAAGGAUGUUUUCAUUAAUCAGUGAACGAAAGUUAGGGGAUCGAAGACGAUCAGAUACCGUCGUAGUCUUAACCGUAAACUAUGCCGACUAGGGAUCGGGCGAUGUUCUUUUUCUGACUCGCUC
This 950-nucleotide ribosomal RNA is filed under the name Ascochyta rabiei. RNAcentral's name for it is "SSU rRNA". It matches the Rfam family "Eukaryotic small subunit ribosomal RNA", at positions 123 to 1081 of the family's 1831-position model. RNAcentral also lists the same sequence under 7 other names. Lineage: Eukaryota; Fungi; Ascomycota; Dothideomycetes; Pleosporales; Didymellaceae. The record is from RNAcentral.